GAUAUGUUCUUGAAACUUAAAAAAUUUGGCGGUAUUUUAGNNNNNNCAGAGGAACCUGUUUUUUAAUCGAUAAUCCACGAUGGACCUAACUUAAUUUUGUUUUUCAGUUUAUAUACCGUCGUUAUUUGAAUAUUUUAUAAGAAUAAUAAUUUUCAAUAUUUAAUAAAAUAUAAAAUGUCAGAUCAAGGUGUAGCUUAUAAUUAAGUAAUAAUGGGUUACAAUAAAUUUAUUUAUGCGAAUUUAUUAUUGAAAAAUAAUAUUGAAGAUGGAUUUGAAAGUAAAAUUUUAAAGAUUAAAAAAUUGAUU
Molecule: ribosomal RNA, 306 nt
Filed under: Clinocera sp. Pollet 0249
Lineage: Eukaryota; Metazoa; Arthropoda; Insecta; Diptera; Empididae
Description: partial 12S ribosomal RNA
Source: RNAcentral